This 496-nucleotide ribosomal RNA is filed under the name uncultured bacterium. Its description in RNAcentral is "bacterial SSU rRNA". It matches the Rfam family "Bacterial small subunit ribosomal RNA", at positions 33 to 507 of the family's 1533-position model. The record is from RNAcentral.
AGGACACGCUGGCGGCGUGCCUAAUACAUGCAAGUCGAGCGGACCAAAGGGAGCUUGCUCCUGGAGGUCAGCGGCGAACGGGUGAGUAACACGUGGGCAACCUGCCUGUAAGACUGGGAUAACAUCGAGAAAUCGGUGCUAAUACCGGAUAAUAAAAAGAACUGCAUGGUUCUUUUUUGAAAGAUGGUUUCGGCUAUCACUUACAGAUGGGCCCGCGGCGCAUUAGCUAGUUGGUGAGGUAACGGCUCACCAAGGCAACGAUGCGUAGCCGACCUGAGAGGGUGAUCGGCCACACUGGGACUGAGACACGGCCCAGACUCCUACGGGAGGCAGCAGUAGGGAAUCUUCCGCAAUGGACGAAAGUCUGACGGAGCAACGCCGCGUGAGUGAUGAAGGUUUUCGGAUCGUAAAACUCUGUUGUUAGGGAAGAACAAGUGCCGUUCGAAAGGGCGGCACCUUGACGGUACCUAACGAGAAAGCCACGGCUAACUACGUG